RNAcentral lists this ribosomal RNA (394 nucleotides) under uncultured bacterium. RNAcentral's name for it is "bacterial SSU rRNA". It matches the Rfam family "Bacterial small subunit ribosomal RNA", at positions 56 to 496 of the family's 1533-position model. The record is from RNAcentral.
UGCAAGUCGAACGAACCUUCGGGUUAGUGGCGGACGGGUGAGUAACGCGUGAGAAUCUGCCCUCAGGAGGGGGAUAACAGCUGGAAACGGCUGCUAAUACCCCAUAUGCCGCGAGGUGAAAUGAAUUUCGCCUGAGGAUGAGCUCGCGUCUGAUUAGCUAGUUGGUGUAGGUAAUGGCUCACCAAGGCAUCGAUCAGUAGCUGGUCUGAGAGGAUGAUCAGCCACACUGGGACUGAGACACGGCCCAGACUCCUACGGGAGGCAGCAGUGGGGAAUUUUCCGCAAUGGGCGAAAGCCUGACGGAGCAACGCCGCGUGAGGGAUGAAGGCCUCUGGGCUGUAAACCUCUUUUAUCAAGGAAGAAGAUCUGACGGUACUUGAUGAAUAAGCCACGG